GUCAAAAUAAACAAACAAGAGGGAGCCUUCACAAAGGUUGCUUAGGAGAAGUCUCAGCAGUCGGUAGAGCCCCAGAAAGAGAAGGCACCGGAGGGGAUCAUUCGGAGCCUCAGUACUGGACAGAACCCUAGAAGGAGGAGGCAUCAGAGGUUGAUCAUUUGGAGCUUCAUUACGCGGUACAGCCCCAGAAGACGAAGGCAAUAAAUGCCUUUGGAACAAACCCA
RNAcentral lists this long non-coding RNA (224 nucleotides) under Malus domestica (apple). RNAcentral describes it as "long non-coding RNA (MDOM_LNC015244)". Lineage: Eukaryota; Viridiplantae; Streptophyta; Magnoliopsida; Rosales; Rosaceae. The record is from RNAcentral.